Molecule: small nucleolar RNA, 107 nt
Organism: Prosopis cineraria
Lineage: Eukaryota; Viridiplantae; Streptophyta; Magnoliopsida; Fabales; Fabaceae
Source: RefSeq, a predicted model, not a curated record
AUUUGAUGGUGUGGGCAUUUAGCCAAAAGGCCUUGGAAUCUAGUCCAAUACUCAUAGAGACUCUCAUCCUCUCCUUGUUGGACCCCAUAGAUUUGCUUUCUCAAAUU